UUUUGCUUGGCGAAAUAGGUAGACGCGUUAGACUUAAAAUCUCAUAACUUUAUAGUUGUAUGGGUUCGAGUCCCAUAGCAAAGA
This 84-nucleotide transfer RNA is filed under the name Acrasis kona. Its description in RNAcentral is "tRNA-Leu". It matches the Rfam family "tRNA". Rfam says of the family: Transfer RNA (tRNA) molecules are approximately 80 nucleotides in length. Their secondary structure includes four short double-helical elements and three loops (D, anti-codon, and T loops). The record is from RNAcentral. Lineage: Eukaryota; Heterolobosea; Eutetramitea; Acrasida; Acrasidae.